CAAUAGCGUAUAUUAAAGUUGUUGCGGUUAAAAAGCUCGUAGUUGGAUUUCUGCUGAGAACGACCGGUCCGCCCUUUGGGUGUGUAUCUGGCUCUUUCUUGGCAUCUUCUUGGUGAACGUUGCUGCACUUGACUGUGUGGAGCGCUACCCAGGACUUUUACUUUGAGGAAAUUAGAGUGUUUCAAGCAGGCAUACGCCUUGAAUACAUUAGCAUGGAAUAAUAAGAUAGGACCUCGGUUCUAUUUUGUUGGUUUCUAGAGCUGAGGUAAUGAUUAAUAGGGAUAGUUGGGGGCAUUCGUAUUUAACGGUCAGAGGUGAAAUUCUUGGAUUUGUUAAAGACGGACUACUGCGAAAGCAUUUGCCAAGGAUGUUUUCAUUGA
RNAcentral lists this ribosomal RNA (380 nucleotides) under uncultured eukaryote. RNAcentral describes it as "partial 18S ribosomal RNA". It matches the Rfam family "Eukaryotic small subunit ribosomal RNA", at positions 592 to 976 of the family's 1831-position model. The record is from RNAcentral.